CCCGGUGUAGCGGUGAAAUGCGUAGAUAUCGGGAAGAACACCAGUGGCGAAGGCGCUCUGCUGGGCCAUCACUGACGNUCAUGGACGAAAGCCAGGGGAGCGAAAGGGAUUAGAUACCCCUGUAGUCCUGGCCGUAAACGAUGAACACUAGGUGUCGGGGGAAUCGACCCCCUCGGUGUCGUAGCCAACGCGUUAAGUGUUCCGCCUGGGGAGUACGCACGCAAGUGUGAAACUCAAAGGAAUUGACGGGGGCCCGCACAAGCGGUGGAGUAUGUGGUUUAAUUCGAUGCAACGCGAAGAACCUUACCAGGGUUUGACAUCCUGCGAAUCUCUUGGAAACAGGAGAGUGCCUUCGGGAACGCAGUGACAGGUGGUGCAUGGCUGUCGUCAGCUCGUGUCGUGAGAUGUUGGGUUAAGUCCCGCAACGAGCGCAACCCACGUCUUUAGUCGCCAGCAUUUAGUUGGGCACUCUAGAGAGACUGCCGGUGAUAAACCGGAGGAAGGUGUGGAUGACGUCAAGUCAUCAUGCCCCUUACAUCCUGGGCUACACACGUACUACAAUGCUACGGACAAAGGGCAGCAAGUUCGCGAGGACAAGCAAAUCCCAUAAACCGUGGCUCAGUUCAGAUCGUAGGCUGCAACUCGCCUACGUGAAGGCGGAAUCGCUAGUAAUCGCAGGUCAGCAUACUGCGGUGAAUACGUUCCCGGGCCUUGUACACACCGCCCGUCACACCAUGGAAGUUGGCCACGCCCGAAGCCGUUACUCCAACCCUUGUGGAGGAGGACGUCGAAGGUGGGGCUGAUGACUGGGGUGAAGUCGUAACAAGGUAGCC
This 833-nucleotide ribosomal RNA is filed under the name uncultured marine microorganism. RNAcentral's name for it is "bacterial SSU rRNA". It matches the Rfam family "Bacterial small subunit ribosomal RNA", at positions 669 to 1501 of the family's 1533-position model. The record is from RNAcentral.